GAUGAACGCUAGCGGGAGGCCUAACACAUGCAAGCCGAGCGGUAUUUGUUCUUCGGACCCGAGAGAGCGGCGCACGGGUGCGGAACACGUGUGCAACCUGCCUUUAUCUGGGGGAUAGCCUUUCGAAAGGAAGAUUAAUACCCCAUAAUAUAUUGAGUGGCAUCAUUUGAUAUUGAAAACUCCGGUGGAUAGAGAUGGGCACGCGCAAGAUUAGAUAGUUGGUGAGGUAACGGCUCACCAAGUCAAUGAUCUUUAGGGGGCCUGAGAGGGUGAUCCCCCACACUGGUACUGAGACACGGACCAGACUCCUACGGGAGGCAGCAGUGAGGAAUAUUGGACAAUGGGUUAGCGCCUGAUCCAGCCAUCCCGCGUGAAGGACGACGGCCCUAUGGGUUGUAAACUUCUUUUGUAUAGGGAUAAACCUACUCUCGUGAGAGUAGCUGAAGGUACUAGACGAAUAAGCACCGGCUAACUCCGUG
This 479-nucleotide ribosomal RNA is filed under the name uncultured bacterium. RNAcentral describes it as "partial 16S ribosomal RNA". It matches the Rfam family "Bacterial small subunit ribosomal RNA", at positions 28 to 507 of the family's 1533-position model. The record is from RNAcentral.